GGAGAGGUGGCAGAGCGGCUGAAUGCACUGGUCUUGAAAACCAGCAAGGGUUUGUAGCCCUUCGUGGGUUCAAAUCCCACCCUCUCCG
RNAcentral lists this transfer RNA (88 nucleotides) under Kangiella geojedonensis. Its description in RNAcentral is "Kangiella sp. YCS-5 tRNA". It matches the Rfam family "tRNA". Rfam says of the family: Transfer RNA (tRNA) molecules are approximately 80 nucleotides in length. Their secondary structure includes four short double-helical elements and three loops (D, anti-codon, and T loops). The record is from Rfam by way of RNAcentral. Lineage: Bacteria; Pseudomonadati; Pseudomonadota; Gammaproteobacteria; Kangiellales; Kangiellaceae.